Non-coding RNA from Misgurnus anguillicaudatus (oriental weatherfish), 612 nucleotides. The record is from RefSeq and is a predicted model, not a curated record. NCBI's taxonomy places the organism in Eukaryota, Metazoa, Chordata, Actinopteri, Cypriniformes, Cobitidae.
GCCGUCAUUGAGCUUUGUCUCUCGACGUACUUUUUCAGAAAUAUCAUUUGCACAUAUUCAGAAAUGUUCUACAAGGACAUUAUUGAGCGCAUUCGGGUUAUUUGCAUGCAAAGGUGUUUAGGAUUUUGCGUUUAAACUUGUAAAGUGUCGAAUCCACGACUUCAUGAAGUGAAACAUGCAUUCUUUUUAAUGGUGAGUACAAGAAAUCUAAUAUGCCGUUUUUACUAUUGCAGAGAACCCAUAAGUGUCAUUAUUCCAGCAUAUUUUGACUACGUUUGGGACAAUCACUCACUUAAGGGACCCCAACAGUGUGAUUAUUCCAGCAUGUUUUGAUUACGUUUAGGACAAUCACGUAGUUAAGAUAAACGCUGAAUUCAUGCGGAUAACAACAGUGCCACUCCUGACCAAGUUCCUGGGGCAGCUGGAUGGAUACGCGGUAAACCUACAUAUAGGUUUUCAAAAGCAAAGGAGGUGCUGCUGGACAGAAUAUAUCACGCAUAAUGGCAAUUGCUGACAAGCAUGAUGACGUACAUCUCGAACGAGACUGUGUCAUAAAGAGUCUGUGUGUGUAUCUCAAUGAGGACAUCACAACACUUGUGAAAGAAUUCAUGG